AAAUUGAAGAGUUUGAUCAUGGCUCAGAUUGAACGCUGGCGGCAGGCCUAACACAUGCAAGUCGAACGGUAACAGGAAGCAGCUUGCUGUUUCGCUGACGAGUGGCGGACGGGUGAGUAAUGUCUGGGAAACUGCCUGAUGGAGGGGAUAACUACUGGAAACGGUAGCUAAUACCGCAUAACGUCGCAAGACCAAAGAGGGGGACCUUCGGGCCUCUUGCCAUCGGAUGUGCCCAGAUGGGAUUAGCUAGUAGGUGGGGUAACGGCUCACCUAGGCGACGAUCCCUAGCUGGUCUGAGAGGAUGACCAGCCACACUGGAACUGAGACACGGUCCAGACUCCUACGGGAGGCAGCAGUGGGGAAUAUUGCACAAUGGGCGCAAGCCUGAUGCAGCCAUGCCGCGUGUAUGAAGAAGGCCUUCGGGUUGUAAAGUACUUUCAGCGGGGAGGAAGGGAGUAAAGUUAAUACCUUUACUCAUUGACGUUACCCGCAGAAGAAGCACCGGCUAACUCCGUGCCAGCAGCCGCGGUAAUACGGAGGGUGCAAGCGUUAAUCGGAAUUACUGGGCGUAAAGCGCACGCAGGCGGUUUGUUAAGUCAGAUGUGAAAUCCCCGGGCUCAACCUGGGAACUGCAUCUGAUACUGGCAAGCUUGAGUCUCGUAGAGGGGGGUAGAAUUCCAGGUGUAGCGGUGAAAUGCGUAGAGAUCUGGAGGAAUACCGGUGGCGAAGGCGGCCCCCUGGACGAAGACUGACGCUCAGGUGCGAAAGCGUGGGGAGCAAACAGGAUUAGAUACCUGGUAGUCCACGCCGUAAACGAUGUCGACUUGGAGGUUGUGCCCUUGAGGUGUGGCUUCCGGAGCUAACGCGUUAAGUCGACCGCCUGGGGAGUACGGCCGCAAGGUUAAAACUCAAAUGAAUUGACGGGGGCCCGCACAAGCGGUGGAGCAUGUGGUUUAAUUCGAUGCAACGCGAAGAACCUUACCUGGUCUUGACAUCCACGGAAGUUUUCAGAGAUGAGAAUGUGCCUUCGGGAACCGUGAGACAGGUGCUGCAUGGCUGUCGUCAGCUCGUGUUGUGAAAUGUUGGGUUAAGUCCCGCAACGAGCGCAACCCUUAUCCUUUGUUGCCAGCGGUCCGGCCGGGAACUCAAAGGAGACUGCCAGUGAUAAACUGGAGGAAGGUGGGGAUGACGUCAAGUCAUCAUGGCCCUUACGACCAGGGCUACACACGUGCUACAAUGGCGCAUACAAAGAGAAGCGAACUCGCGAGAGCAAGCGGACCUCAUAAAGUGCGUCGUAGUCCGGAUUGGAGUCUGCAACUCGACUCCAUGAAGUCGGAAUCGCUAGUAAUCGUGGAUCAGAAUGCCACGGUGAAUACGUUCCCGGGCCUUGUACACACCGCCCGUCACACCAUGGGAGUAGGUUGCAAAAGAAGUAGGUAGCUUAACCUUCGGGAGGGCGCUUACCACUUUGUGAUUCAUGACUGGGGUGAAGUCGUAACAAGGUAACCGUAGGGGAACCUGCGGUUGGAUCACCUCCUUA
Molecule: ribosomal RNA, 1540 nt
Filed under: Shigella flexneri
Lineage: Bacteria; Pseudomonadati; Pseudomonadota; Gammaproteobacteria; Enterobacterales; Enterobacteriaceae
Description: bacterial SSU rRNA
Rfam family: Bacterial small subunit ribosomal RNA
Source: RNAcentral